GCACUGCGCAUGCGGGAAGAUGGCGGGCCGGGCGACUUGAGAGCCGCGGGUCUCCCUCCUCCUUUUCCGUCUGCGUCGGGAGCUCCCGGGCACGUGAGGCCGUGCCGCGUUUGCUGGCGGGCGGGACGGCCUAGUCGGGCGGCGCCUCGGAGGAGGCCGCGGACCCGUUAGGUACUGGGCCCUUGGAAAUCGGCGCGUGGGGGGCGGUGCUCGACCUGAGCGCGAGAGGGCGGGAGAGCUCGUGGGGUGCGAGGGGAGCAGGACGCCCGGCCGGGCAGCAUGAGUCAGCAGCGGCCGGCGAGGAAGUUACCCAGUCUCCUCCUGGACCCGACGGAGGAGACAGUUCGCCGUCGGUGCCGAGACCCCAUCAACGUGGAGGGCCUGCUGCCAUCAAAAAUAAGGAUUAAUUUAGAAGAUAAUGUACAAUAUGUGUCCAUGAGAAGUAAGUUGAUUCCUGAAUAGGUUUUAGGUUUUGUUAGUUUGAACUUCAUAUGAUUAAAAUGAUUUGUUUAAGUGUAUGAGUUGAUGAGAAACUGAAAUAAAAUUUGUUAUUUAUACACUGAAAUGUAAAGUUGCAAGUUUUAGUAACAACUCCUGAAGUUAUGGGUUG
This 610-nucleotide small RNA is filed under the name Pongo abelii (Sumatran orangutan). RNAcentral describes it as "retained intron". Lineage: Eukaryota; Metazoa; Chordata; Mammalia; Primates; Hominidae. The record is from RNAcentral.